AACGCACAUUGCGCCCGCCAGUAUUCUGGCGGGCAUGCCUGUUCGAGCGUCAUUUCAACCCUCAAGCCCCCAAGCUUGGUGUUGGGGAUCGGCCGCACACUGCGGCGGCCGGCCCUGAAAUACAGUGGCGGUCUCGCUGUUGCCUCUCUUGCGUAGUAGCACAUCUCGCAUUGGAGUGCAGCGUGGCCACGCCGUAAAACCCCCUAAUUUCUGAAUGUUGACCUCGGAUCAGGUAGGAAUACCCGCUGAACUUAA
Molecule: unclassified non-coding RNA, 255 nt
Filed under: uncultured fungus
Lineage: Eukaryota; Fungi
Description: partial contains 5.8S ribosomal RNA, internal transcribed spacer 2, and large subunit ribosomal RNA
Rfam family: 5.8S ribosomal RNA (bases 1-52)
Source: RNAcentral